Xiphophorus couchianus (Monterrey platyfish) is the source of this 508-nucleotide long non-coding RNA. RefSeq lists it as uncharacterized. NCBI's taxonomy places the organism in Eukaryota, Metazoa, Chordata, Actinopteri, Cyprinodontiformes, Poeciliidae. The transcript is spliced from 4 exons. The record is from RefSeq and is a predicted model, not a curated record.
GCCUGGUUUUACCGCUGGAUGCGAUGUGUUCUGUUGCUGACUUACCGUUCAGAAACUUCUCCUUUUCAAAUAUGUGACGUGAGCGUUGAGUUGGGGGCGUGGCCAGCAGCGGCAUAUUUGGAUUUAAAGUGACAAGAGCCGUUAAAACAGCUAAAACAUAACUGACUAGACUACAAUCUCAUUACGAUUUUGUGCACAAAAUGCCUAUAAUCAUGGAGGGCACAAACGUUGCAUGCAGCAGAUUUCAUCAACUUUCUUCACACCUUUAUGUGUUGAAGACGUGCAGCUCUGGAAUCUCUGAUCAAUAUUUCUGGGACUCGGAGCACCGCUUGGUGAAUGUUGCGACCGCCGCCUAUCUGAAAGACACACAACUGCCGAGAGAAAGCAUCCACCAGCUUCUCCACGCCGUAAUGCGUCAGGAUGGAGGUGUUGUACAAAAACUGGGAGUACGGGAUUUCUUCUCCGUCGAUGAGGAAGCUGUCCGGCAUGAGUGGGUGCCAGUGGUAGA